Molecule: ribosomal RNA, 205 nt
Filed under: Karenia brevis
Lineage: Eukaryota; Dinophyceae; Gymnodiniales; Kareniaceae
Description: partial Bacterial large subunit ribosomal RNA
Rfam family: Bacterial large subunit ribosomal RNA
Source: RNAcentral
AGUUUGACUGGGGCGGUCUCCUCCCAAAGAGUAACGGAGGAGCACGAAGGUGUGCUCAGCAUGGUCGGAAAUCAUGCAUAGAGUGUAAAGGCAAAAGCACGCUUAACUGCGAGACAGACACGUCGAGCAGGUACGAAAGUAGGUCUUAGUGAUCCGGUGGUUCUGUAUGGAAGGGCCAUCGCUCAACGGAUAAAAGGUACUCCGG